RNAcentral lists this ribosomal RNA (468 nucleotides) under uncultured bacterium. Its description in RNAcentral is "partial 16S ribosomal RNA". It matches the Rfam family "Bacterial small subunit ribosomal RNA", at positions 34 to 507 of the family's 1533-position model. The record is from RNAcentral.
UCCUCCCUCUUGCUUCGUGCUUAACACAUGCAAGUCGAACGGAAAGGCCCUGCUUUUGUGGGGUGCUCGAGUGGCGAACGGGUGAGUAACACGUGAGUAACCUGCCCUUGACUUUGGGAUAACUUCAGGAAACGAGGGCUAAUACCGGAUAGGAGCUCCUGCUGCAUGGUGGGGGUUGGAAAGUUUAGGCGGUUGGGGAUGGACUCGCGGCUUAUCAGCUUGUUGGUGGGGUAGUGGCUUACCAAGGCUUCGACGGGUAGCCGGCCUGGGAGGGUGGGCGGACACAUUGCGAUUGAGAUGAGGCCCAGACUCGAACGGGAGGCAGCAGUGGAGAAGGGUGCAUAGUGGGCUGGAGGCUGAUGCAGCAACGCCGCGUGCGGGAGGACGGCCUGCGGGUUGUAAAGCGAUUUCGCGUGGUACGAAGCGUGAGUGACGGUAAUGGGUAAGGAAGCGCCGGCUAACUACGUG